RNAcentral lists this non-coding RNA (25 nucleotides) under Cricetulus griseus (Chinese hamster). Lineage: Eukaryota; Metazoa; Chordata; Mammalia; Rodentia; Cricetidae. The record is from RNAcentral.
AAUAUCUGCCGAACAUCUGACUAGC